Lagopus leucura (white-tailed ptarmigan) is the source of this 838-nucleotide RNA transcript. It is a transcript of the gene named SS18 like 2, with no coding region annotated. Lineage: Eukaryota; Metazoa; Chordata; Aves; Galliformes; Phasianidae. The record is from RefSeq and is a predicted model, not a curated record. The transcript has 7 exons.
GCGCGGGGCGGCGGCGGCGGAAUGUCGGUGGUGUUCGUGCCGGAGCGGCUGCGCGGCAAGGCGGAGGUGAACCAGGAGACGCUGCAGCGGCUGCUGGAGGAGAACGACCAGCUGAUCCGCUGCAUCGUGGAGUACCAGAGCAAGGGCCGCGCCACCGACUGCGUGCAGUACCAGCAUAUCCUGCACAGAAACCUCAUUUAUUUAGCCACAAUUGCAGAUGCGACGCCACCCAGCGCGCAGAAGACUACAGAGUGACUGCACGUACCCGGCUGCAGGCUGCCCUGCUUUACAGAGAAAGGCUUUAGUUUACAUUGCCACUGUGGGAGGGAGAAAGUGUAGUCACACAAGGCAGAAGCUUUAAAAUACAAAAUGUACAAUUCCAGUUCAGAAGCAUUAGCUAUUCACAGAAGCACUGCAAUAAGGCAGCGACGAGGUCUGGCCCUGAGAACAUGGAGAACAAGCUGUCCCCAUUGGCUGAGGAGGUCUCAUCACUCGAGCUGGCAGAAUCUCCUUGAGUACCAGACCAGCUGUUUGUCACAUCACUAAUGUAUUAAGCGAAUCUUCCAAGAUCACCGGGUUUGGACUAUUUCAGAUGGAUUACUGUCCCUCAAACACUGUCUGCUGGGGAAACACUAUUUACCUAGACAGGGUGAAGAAGGCAUGAGUAUCGACGUAAGCCUCUGCUGUCCUGCCAACAACAGUGGCAACCUGGCAGUCUUGAAGAUUUCAUUUUUACUGCUCAGAACUAAACUCCACAAGUUAAAAUUCUUACCACUAACAAAUAAACUAAACUACUUUGGUUUUUCUCUAUUUCUUUAAUAAAGGCCAAGAAGACAGU